Long non-coding RNA from Corvus hawaiiensis (hawaiian crow), 1659 nucleotides. RefSeq lists it as uncharacterized. Lineage: Eukaryota; Metazoa; Chordata; Aves; Passeriformes; Corvidae. The transcript is spliced from 2 exons. The record is from RefSeq and is a predicted model, not a curated record.
AGGCGGGGGCCGCAGCCGCGGUCGGUGUCGCCGUAUCGCGACAGGAACGCGCCCGCCGCGCAGCCAUGGGGAGUAGAUGGACUUUCAGGUCCCUUCCAACCCCAAGCAGUGUGGGAUUCUCCGAUCAUCAAACACCAGCAUGACCCGGCAAAAUCGACACCUUUAAAGUUUGCAGCUCGAGUCACAAGAGACAAAAAGGUGACAAAACCAACUUACAUAGCCCCAGACAGCUGAGAACAUGGCAGCUCCUCCAAGGAGGACCAUGGUUCCAUAUUUAUCGUGGAAGUUCGGCUCAUGCUUGCGAUGAGCUUGUCUGACUGCAGUGUGCUGGAUGCCACGAGCUGAGGAGCGUUCAGAAGUACAGAAAUCAACAAAAAUACAUGCUAAAACCAUUCACAAUCCUCAUCUCCCACCAACAGAGAGGCGCUAGUGUUAAAAGAUUAAAAAUGCUGGAAAAAAUAAUCUUUUGGACUUAGAACUCUGGAAUGACUCCAAAACAUGGGAUAUACACAAAUCCUUUAAUUUUUUUCAGCUCUCUCAAUUUCUCUCUAGAAAGUUAUUCCUUAUGUCUAACUCCAGUAAGAAAAAAAAAAAAUCUUCUAAGUUACCUUUUUCACUAAUAUAUUUUCUUUAGUAUUACUGUUUCUCUAAUAAAAUGUUUUGCUUAGUGCCUAGCUUUUUUGGAUUUCUACAUAUAAAUAUCUAUCCUAGCAGUGUAUGUAACCUAACAUGAGCAUUGUCAGGAUGAAGCUCACCAUCAAAUUAUGGGGUUGAAGAUAGAGGGUGUGGAAGGAAGGAAACGGAAAUAACCUGCGGGCAUGAGACAAAUAAUAGAGAAAAAAAUACACAAUGAUAUCUGCAGAUGAUGUACAUUAUAAAUGUACACUAUAAAAGGUACACUUAUUAAAGAGAAGACAACAGUAAAAAAUCAAAGCAAUAGCUACAAAACACAAACUGCCCGGUAGCUGUGUACAAAGCAUUUGAUGAGAAGGUGAUGUGCGCAUAAAGAUAUUACAAAAUAAAACCUUUUAGUCUCAGGUCAAUGGUUUGCAGUUCUAUGCAACCAUGACUAGAGAAGAUGAUGGUGAUACCCAUAAUGUUACUACAUCAUUCGCAUGCUCUGUGAGGCUGCACAAGGCGUUUUUUUAGACAUAAAAAAGCCAGAAUAUCUACCAAGACAGGUUUACUUUAGGUGCCCGCACCUCGGGAUAAGCACAUCGUGACCCAGGACCAGAGGAACACUGCGGGGUCUGUAUCACUGAAGGGGUAACUUUAACCUUGAGUUUAAGGGCUGGCUAUUGACUACACCUUGUCACCGCAGGUUACCAGACCAGAAUGUGCCUUUAGAUACUAGGGGGAAAAAAGCACCAAGGAAAGGAGUCCUAGGUCAAAAAGCAACUAGGAGAUAAAAAAGGCUGGAAGAAAGAAAAAAAGCGGGAGGAGAAGGACGCCAGAGCCGCCCGCAGCCCCCGAGGUGCCCUCACGACCCUCCCCGGGUGCAGAGCGAGCCGGGGGCUGUGAGGGACAGUCCGCACAGGGUAGGGCACAAACCGGGGGUGACCCCCUGAGGAACCCCCCCACAGCCCGAGAGCCGCCCCUAUCCUUACCGACGAGGCUCUGCGCGGCCCUGGCCACCGGGAACAUGAUGAGAGCCAAGCG